UACGGGGGGGGCAAGCGUUGUUCGGAAUUACUGGGCGUAAAGGGCUCGUAGGCGGCCAACUAAGUCGGACGUGAAAUCCCCAGGCUCAACCUGGGAACUGCGUCCGAUACUGGAUGGCUUGAAUCCGGGAGAGGGAUGCAGAAUUCCAGGUGUAGCGGUGAAAUGCGUAGAUAUCGGGAGGAACACCAGUGGCGAAGGCGGUUACCUGGGGCUUUGCUGACGCUGAUGCGCGAAAGCGUGGGGAGCGAUCCGG
RNAcentral lists this ribosomal RNA (253 nucleotides) under uncultured bacterium. Its description in RNAcentral is "partial 16S ribosomal RNA". It matches the Rfam family "Bacterial small subunit ribosomal RNA", at positions 524 to 776 of the family's 1533-position model. The record is from RNAcentral.